This 429-nucleotide ribosomal RNA is filed under the name uncultured bacterium. Its description in RNAcentral is "bacterial SSU rRNA". It matches the Rfam family "Bacterial small subunit ribosomal RNA", at positions 355 to 776 of the family's 1533-position model. The record is from RNAcentral.
UGGGGAAUCUUGGACAAUGGGGGAAACCCUGAUCCAGCGAUACCGCGUGUGUGAAGAAGGCCUUCGGGUUGUAAAGCACUUUAGGUGGGGAAGAAAGGUACGAGAGGAAUAUUCUUGUGCUGUGACGGUACCCACAGAAUAAGCACCGGCUAACUCUGUGCCAGCAGCCGCGGUAAUACAGAGGGUGCAAGCGUUAAUCAGAAUGACUGGGCGUAAAGGGCGUGUAGGUGGUUGACUAGGUUUGAUGUGAAAUCCCCGGGCUUAACCUGGGAAUGGCGUCGAAAACGGGUUGACUAGAGUGAGAGAGAGGGUUGUGGAAUUUCCGGUGUAGCGGUGAAAUGCGUAGAUAUCGGAAAGAACAUCAGUGGCGAAGGCGACAACCUGGCUCUUAACUGACACUGAGGCGCGAAGGCGUGGGGAGCAAACAGG